UGAGGAAUAUUGGUCAAUGGUCGGGAGACUGAACCAGCCAAGCCGCGUGAGGGAUGAAGGUACAGAGUAUCGUAAACCUCCUUUGUCAGGGAACAAAAGGCGCCACGCGUGGCGCUCCGAGUGUACCUGAAGAAAAGCAUCGGCUAACUCCGUGCCAGCAGCCGCGGUAAUACGGAGGAUGCGAGCGUUAUCCGGAUUUAUUGGGUUUAAAGGGUGCGUAGGCGGCGAGUUAAGUCAGCGGUAAAAGCCCGGGGCUCAACCCCGGCCCGCCGUUGAAACUGGCUUGCUUGAGUUGGAGAGAAGUAGGCGGAAUGCGCGGUGUAGCGGUGAAAUGCUUAGAUAUCGCGCAGAACUCCGAUUGCGAAGGCAGCCUACCGGCUCCAGACUGACGCUGAGGCACGAAAGCGUGGGUAUCGAACAGGAUUAGAUACC
RNAcentral lists this ribosomal RNA (432 nucleotides) under uncultured bacterium. RNAcentral's name for it is "bacterial SSU rRNA". It matches the Rfam family "Bacterial small subunit ribosomal RNA", at positions 355 to 786 of the family's 1533-position model. The record is from RNAcentral.